Molecule: ribosomal RNA, 253 nt
Filed under: uncultured bacterium
Lineage: Bacteria
Description: partial 16S ribosomal RNA
Rfam family: Bacterial small subunit ribosomal RNA
Source: RNAcentral
UACAGAGGGUGCGAGCGUUAAUCGGAAUUACUGGGCGUAAAGCGUGCGUAGACGGCUAUCUAAGUCGGGUGUGAAAGCCCCGGGCUCAACCUGGGAAUUGCAUUCGAGACUGAAUAGCUAGGGUGCGGUAGAGGGAAGCGGAAUUUCCGGUGUAGCGGUGAAAUGCGUAGAUAUCAGGAGGAACACCGGUGGCGAAGGCGGCUUUCUGGACAGAUACCGACGCUGAGGCACGAAAGCUAGGGGAGCAAACAGG